Molecule: long non-coding RNA, 5405 nt
Filed under: Sus scrofa (pig)
Lineage: Eukaryota; Metazoa; Chordata; Mammalia; Artiodactyla; Suidae
Description: lncRNA (ENSSSCG00040028726.1)
Source: RNAcentral
AAAGGAGGUUUUUUGUUUACCAAGUGGGAAAACGGAGAGCUAAGUCUAAGUAGAUGCAUGGAUGUCAAAAUUAAUUUGUAAAUAAGCUCUAUUUAAUUGGCUUAAUUUCUUUUAAGGGCCUAUACAAAUCUUCAGAAAUAUCUAACCCAAAUGAAUUUUAGGUUCAUGUAAAACACUUAGUAUUAGAUUAAUACCUGAUCUUAUAGGUAGUUAAGCUUGUUUAGUUAAUGCAGACAUAUCUUUGUCUUUUCUAGAACCACACCCGUGGCAUAUGGAGGUGCCCGGACUAGGGGUCUAAUGGGAGCUGUAGCCACCAGCCUACGCCAGAGCCAUAGCUACGUGCGAUCUGACCCACAUCUGUGACCUACACCACAGCUCAUGGCAACGCUGGAUCUUUAACCCACUGAGCGAGGCCAGGGAUCAAACCUGCAACCUCAUGGUUCCUAGUCAGAUUUGUUGAAACUGAGCCACGACGGGAACUCCCAGACAUAUAUUUAGAGUCAACUAUAAUUUUAUUGUACCUGGGAAAGUUAGUAAGAUCUUAUUAAUCCUAUUAUAAAAUUUGUCAGCAAGAACAACUUGAUAACAAUGGGAUGAAAUUAAAGUUUAAGAGUUUGGGGAGUUGAGCUCUUUGGGAAUAACUAUGUUUUAGGAAAUUCAAAGCAGUCUCUCUAGAAUUUGACACCUUGAAACUUAGAGUGUCAAGGAGUCCCCUUGUAACUAUCAAUUUUUUAGAAAACUGCUCUAGAAAAAGGAGACAGGUUUAGUGGCCAGUAGCUCCUGUUACAGAAGUACCAUAUCAGAAGUUAAAACCUCAGCAGAAACGAAUCUGACUAGCAUCCAUGAGGGCUCAGGUUCAAUCCCCAGCCUCGAGCAGUGGGUUAAGGAUCCGGCAUUACCGUGAGCUGUGGUAUAAGUUGCAAAUAUCCUUAACCAACUAAGCAAGGCCAGGGAUUGAACCUGUGUCCUCAUGGAUGCUAGUCAGAUUCAUUUCUGCCGAGCCACGACGGGAACUCCCACAGGUGAAUUUUAAUAUAACGAUGUUUCCAAUACUGUAUUAUGAAUGUGGCUACCUGCCAUAAACCUUAAAACAAUUCAUUCAUUAGCAUGUAGGCUAAACAUUCAUGCCAGGGGAACAUGGAUCUUUUGGUACCUGUCAGCACACAGCACACAGCGGCCUUGACCCCCAGAGGAUCCUGAAGUACCUCUUCCAUCCAUUCUGGAAGAAACCAGGGCCAGGUUGGUGCUACAAAGCCACUUGAGCUCCAUCAGGUGCAACCCAGUAUGUUCCCGGUGACCUGACCCAAUCUGUGUCAUAUCAAUGGCUAUCUUUAAGGGAAAUGAUAUACUGACAUUUGUCAUAACUGCACCGAGCCUGAUAAUCUUCAGUCUGAUUUAAUUGUUCCCAACAUGGUGGGAGGUGGGGCUUAGUCUUCAAGAGCCAUAGCCCAGUAUUAGCCAUUUAAAUCCAUCCCACAACUGAGAGAGGGUCCCUCCUCAUGAUCCGGAAAGUUACAAUUUUUGACUGAAAUCUAGCUUGUUGCUCUGAUGAAGCUGGAGUAACUUUAAGGAAAAACUCUUCUUUAUGGUCCGAGUCAGAGCAAGGGUGCUUCUUGACUGGCCAAGUAAGGUGUCCCAGUAUUAGCAGCAGCAGCCUGGACAUAACUUCUAAGAUGAGCUUUUGAAGGGCCAUCCAUCAGACCCUUGAAAAGGGUCUCAAUAACCAGAAGCACAGGAUGCAGGUCAUUGACCACAGACCCGACAAGUGGCUUGAAUUCUCAAAUGUGCAUAGGAUUGCAAAUUCAGACACCAGAAAUCAAGGCAGCGUUAGAAACCACAUACCAGUCAGGUCCAGCCUUAGGACAGCCAUCUGCUUCUGAUGCCUCCUCGCCCUGGCAGGGCAUUUCCUUCCUGCUGGACAUUGCUCUAAGGCGAGUUUGAGGCCAGUGGCUCUCUCAUAGACCAGUCCCAGGCAGUGGCCCUUUUUAGGGGGAAAACAUAGAUCUGAGGUCAGUUCUCUUCAGUCUUGCUGUUCAUGAGCUGUUUAAGAGAACCUGAUAAGGGACUGUCCACUGAGGUGUAAAUGAUGCCUUUUCCAGUACACACAGCCUCCUGGUUGUAGGUCACAGGGCAUCCGACCUUCAUCUGAAGACCCAUUACUGUGAUAACAGGACCUUCCAAGCUUGUUGAUGGAUGUUAACAAUUCAGUUGAACGCUUGCAGUGCCACAGCCUACCCCUUUCACUAAUAUAGGUUCACAAACUCCAUCCAGUCUCACUGGUCACCCCUUGAUAAUCUCAGGGGACAAAUGGUGUUUUCCAAAAGGGGCAGGUCUGAGAAGGACCUUAGCCUGAGUAAGGAAUAAGCCUCUAUCAUCCUGGCCAACUGAGUUCACUGGUCCAUUUGUUCUUUCACCACCUAGAAGGCUGGGGUGCUGGCCUAAUGGAAAUGCUGCGUAAGUGGUUAAGUCUGAGGGUGUUCCCCAAAUGGGCAUCACUCUAAAACCAAUUUCCCUUCUGUUCCCUUCAGCGUUCAGAGGCCUCAGCCCAGUAUGAAGACAUACCAGUCAUAGAGGAGCAUAUCGAUAACCUGAGAGGGAGGCCUGUAUACAACCAAUUUGCCAAGGUUCAGGGGGACCCGCAGGUAACAGCAGCUUCCCUUGCAAACUAUAGUGGCUUCUCCGGGUUUGGUUUUGGACCAAGGGCAUGGAGUAAACCUUGCCAGCCAUUGUACAAGGCUUCCAAAAAUAAUGUGCCCCAGGGAGUUCUCCUCCCUGCUCCCAGCUGUCCUGGGAGCUAUUUGCUUUUCUUUAAUAGACUUUGCUUGCUUGCUGCCUGUGUGUUGGUGGAGUUCAUUCUUAGACUGCCGUGAACAAGAACCUGGAUUCUAGUAUCAUCUUUCCAAUAUCAUAACCACAGCGUAACAAAGGCGUUCACAGACUCUGAGACCCUGGCAGGACUACCUGACGCUCCCUAUGAGCCUGGUGACUGGGGCUGGCCAGAGUCAGCAGCCCAGAGCAGUGGGGUCUAGGCCCCACCUCUGUUGGUUCAGUGAGCAGCGCACACAAACCUCUGACUUGCUGCUGCAGGAGGACCACCUGGUACAAGGAAGAGGAAAUGGGACUCAGUUUCUAUGUAAUCUCCCCAAAGUCCAGGAUCCAGUAAAAAAAUGUCGCUUGUCAUCUUACAAAAGUUACCUGCAUGGAGCGGGGCCUGUGCCCCCUGGUGGGGACUCAGCAGUGGGUCCUCUCUAGCUGCCAGAGUUCCUCUGAGCAGGAACCUGUGUGCUGUCAUCAGGUGCUUCCUCUCUGGGGCUCCCAAGGGGGAGACCCCUCCAGCCCCUGAAUUUGGGCUGGGAGCUGAGCCCCAGCACCAGGGCCCAACAAGGGUGGGGAGGUCCCCAGCUAGACCCCCAUUUGCAUGGGCAGCCCCUCCCCUGGCAGAGGCUGGGCAAGAAAAGGAGGCCUGGGCAGCCCAGCCCCUCUCUGGGCACCAGGGGCUGUGAGCACCAUGGCCUGGACUCCUCUGCUGCUCGUGCUCCUAUCACUGCACAGGUUCCCUCUCCCAGGCUGUCCUGACUCUGCCACCCUCCCUCUCUGCCUCUCCUGGAGCAUCAGCCAGGCUCCCCUGCAUCCUGAGCAGUGACAUCAGUGUGGGUAGAAAAGUCAUAUCUUGGUUCCAGCAGAAUCCAGGGAGCCCUCCCUGGUACCUCCUGAGUUUCUACUCAGACUCCGAUAAGCACUAGAGCUCUGGGGUCCCCAGCCACUUCUCUGGGGCCAAAGAUGCCUUGGCCAAUGUGGGGCUUCUUCUUAUCUCUGGGCUGCAGCCUGAGGACGAGGCUGACUAUUACUGUGCUACGCAUCAAUGGCAGUGGGAGCAGCUAUCAUUUCCCCAGUGACUGAGACAUGGGGGAAGUGAGACAAGAACGCGGGGCACUCAGGCCUUGGCUCUGAGCCUCUUUCUUGAGGGGAUGUGGAGACACCUGCAGGACAGACUCUUCUGUGGUAAGACCUGUGCUUGUAUAGGAAAGGGAAACGGGAGUUCCUGUCGUGGCACAGUGGUUAACAAAUCCGACUAGGAACCAUGAGGUUGCAGGUUCGAUCCCUGCCCUUGCUCAGUGGGUUAAUGAUCCAGUGUUGCCGUGAGCUGUGGUGUGGGUUGCAGAUGCUCAGAUCCUGCGUUGCUGUGGCUCUGGCAUAGGCAGGCAUUUGUAGCUCCAGUUAGACCCUUCGCCUGGGAACCUCCAUAUGCCGCAGGAGCAGCCCAAGAAAUGGCAGGAAGACAGAAGAAAAAAAAGAAAAAGGGAAACACAUAUCGAGGCUUGUGACCCGGGCCAGCGCAGGUGUCCCAGGAACACACCCAGGUGAGAACAGAACCCAUCCGCCUCUGCGCCUGACCCCCAGGGUCUGGAGUAAAUGAAGAAUACAACUUUUUUAAGGAAAAUAAUAAUAAUAAUGUGCCCCACAAUACCAUCUUACCGGAUUCCAAUGAGCAACCUUGGGAAAAUAUCACAAAAUGGGACACCAGGCUUCAAACAGAAGGAUAGGUGGGCUUCCUCUGUGGGCCUGUCACAGCCCUUUGCUGGAGUUCAGUCUUCCUCCCUCCUGUCCCCUGAAAUUAACCACAGGUCAGUACGGUGGCUGGGAGGGAAAGCCAGUGGGUGGCUGGUUUGUAAAGCCGAGGUCUUGGCUGCCUGAUCGGCUAGCUUCCUCUGGGUUCUGCAGUGUCAGCCUUGACAGCUAGUGCAUUCAGCUGCAGACCUACACCCAGUAAUUCUAACAGGCCAUCCUGGGGACAUUAAAAGUCCUGUUUCCAACCAUGCCAAAGUCCUGUUCCAGCCCCAAAGCACAGCGGCUGUCUAUUAACAUUAGAGACUUCGCCUUUGCCAGCUGGCAGGCUCUCCAGACUGUUGGGUGAGAAGAAUUAGGCAAGAGGGCAUUUUCCAGUGCAGACACUGGAGAAACAAUGGUAUAGCCAGCCUAGUACCCUCCAUGAGGUCUUUGCAGACACUAACUGUCAGUGAGUAACAAAGUCAGAGUCAUGCACUGGGCUUUCCUCUAAGAGGUGAAAGAUUUCCAUCGUUGACAUGUGAUGCGUUGGAGAGCACGGAGGCUGGAUUAAGUGAUUCAUACCUGUGGAGAGGGAGGUGGCGAGAUCCAAACCACCCCAGGGAGCUGAACAGCUGAAUCAUAUGUGACACAUUUAGUAAGGCUUCCAGGAUGGGGAGCAGAGAUGGUGAUAGUCUCUGUGGUUUGACUCAGCACAGCUGUGAGACAAGGCGGGACAGGCCUUGGCUGCUGUGCCUACUUGGCUGCAAUACACCAUUUGCUGGUAACCACCAUGUUGCUAGGUUAGUACUCCUUACGUGCCCUUCUUUCUCACACACAAAGAAAAAAGGGCAAAUCAU